AGCACCGUAUAUCAGUGGUAGAUUAUCAGAAACCUUCGUCUGAGUGUCACAGGUUCGAUUCCUGUCGGUGCUA
Molecule: transfer RNA, 73 nt
Filed under: Caudoviricetes sp.
Lineage: Duplodnaviria; Heunggongvirae; Uroviricota; Caudoviricetes
Description: tRNA-OTHER
Rfam family: tRNA
About the family: Transfer RNA (tRNA) molecules are approximately 80 nucleotides in length. Their secondary structure includes four short double-helical elements and three loops (D, anti-codon, and T loops).
Source: RNAcentral